This 465-nucleotide ribosomal RNA is filed under the name uncultured bacterium. RNAcentral's name for it is "partial 16S ribosomal RNA". It matches the Rfam family "Bacterial small subunit ribosomal RNA", at positions 28 to 507 of the family's 1533-position model. The record is from RNAcentral.
GAUGAACGCUGGCGGCGUGCUUAACACAUGCAAGUCGAACGGAAACGCUCCUGCUUGCAGUGGUUCUCCAGUGGCGCACGGGUGAGUAUAACGCGGGUGAACUCCCCUGCACUUCGGGAUACGCCUGGGAAACUGGGCUUAAUAUCCGACAGGACGCUGCUGUGCUUGAUGUAGCGGAGAGUUUUUCGGUUUGGGAUUGGCUGGUGGCCUAUCAUCUUGUUGGCGGGGUAAUGGCCUACCAAGGCGUCGACGGGUAGACGGCCUGGGAGGGUGUGCGGCCACAUUACGACUGAGAUGCGGCCCAGACUCGAACGGGAGGCAGCAGAGGGGAAGGUUGCACAAUGGGAGCGAGCAUGAUGCAGCGACGCCGCGUGGGGGAUAACGGCCUUGGGGUUGUAAACUCCUUUCGCGAGGGACGAAGCGCAAGUGACGGUACCUGGAGAGGAAGCACCGGCUAACUACGUG